RNAcentral lists this long non-coding RNA (6197 nucleotides) under Panax ginseng (ginseng). RNAcentral's name for it is "long non-coding RNA (PGIN_LNC012269)". Lineage: Eukaryota; Viridiplantae; Streptophyta; Magnoliopsida; Apiales; Araliaceae. The record is from RNAcentral.
ACUGCUUCAACCUGAUUGCAUAAAUAUAAUACAAUUAAAUAGAUCAAAUGACAAAUUAAAUUAUAAUAUUAACCAAUCCUACAACUUGUCCAAAAACAAUAAAAUUAAGUUUCUUAUCCAAAAUCAUAAAUCCAUGAAUCUUACAAAAGUACAAAUAAACCACUAAUUAGUAUGUUGAUUUUACAAAACCGUCCAUAACCACAAAAGUGCCUAAGGUCUGUGAAUACUCGCAAACAUACGAGUUUGAGUUAUAGCCCAUGCAUGCAAACCCUUUAAUUUAACUUAGAUCUUUUCAAUGUCCUGCAAAAUGAAAGAGAAGAGUUUCGAGUUAAAAAUUAUAGGAAAUGCGUUUAAAAGGAAAGAUAACUAAUAUCGAACAAAGUUACCAUUGUAUAUAUAAAAAAAAUUAAGGACCGUAAAUAGCAAAAAUGAAUAAUCAAGUGGAUUCAACGAAGAGCAAGGGCUCAAGCAAGAAUAUAGAUCCUGCAGUUUGAUCUUAGCAGCAAAAAGUCAAGAGAUUCAUUGAUUUCCUUCUCAUGCGGCGAGGGAAGAAUAUAUACUUCUUAGCAGCAUAAAGUCGAAAGAUUCAAUAAAACACUUCCAGUUCAUGACAAUAUAGGAGGAGCUAGUCAUAUAAAGACAACGCCUUUCAAGAAGCAGGACAAGUAAGAAAAGCAAACUUGAUUAUGUAUGUCCAACACUAAGAAAAGUUAAGCUCAAAUGUUUAAAGCUUGCAUGACACCAAAAGCAUUUUGAGUUUUGACCUUCAUGUUUAAACAGAACAGCUGGAUUCAUCUCAAAGAAAAAAAAUUUAAGAGCAACUGCAAAAAAAAAAGAGUUAUAAAUAUCCUAUCUGAUGGUGGUGGGAGUAAGAAUGUUUACUUUCAUCAACAAUACCAUCACAACAAUCAUGUGUUACCAUUAAAACUGUUCUCAUUAUAAUACCCAGCCUACAUAAGGGAAGAGCAACAACCUGCCUUUAGCAUUAUAAUACCCAGCCAUCACAUUCACUACUUUGAAAUCUACAUAUACACAAAUUUCAUAUAAAUCAAACUUUAUAUUCCCCACUAGAAAAAUACCAAAUCCCUUCAUUUCAGUCUUUACUCAAUACGCUACAGUCUAGGCUUAUAGCUUUAUAAUUAUACGGAUAUGUAAGCCAGCCCAUUACACAAAGCUGAACUGUAUCAUCAAUUGUUUAUUUUUUAUCUUUUUAAAAUUUCAUGAAGCUAUUAUGGUGCAUUACAGCUUUGAAUUCAUAUCUUUGGCAUUACCUUGAGUUGGUAUCAAAGAUACGUUUAAGCUAUUAGAAACUUUAACGUAGGAGUUAGACAAAUGUCUAGGUAGCUCAAUCAAGAGGUUGAUUUUGGUUUGUGUGGUAGGAAUGAGUGUUGACCCAUUUGAAUCAAGCUUGAAGAAAACCAGUUGAACUUGUUUAGUUCGACCCUGGCGACUUCUAUGCAUGUUCAAAGGAGAUUUUGCAUACCUAAAACUUGGCUGCAGAUUUCACCUCAAGUUAGUGGCAUGCUCAAUUAAGCUUUUCACCAUCUAGUUGAUUAUGUUGAACGAUGAUAAUCUCAGUCUUUAGUUAGUUAUGGUGCUGCAUUCCUUGCUUAUCAAUCGAAAUUAAGUAGUACAAAGCAAUUAUAAUGGACUGAGGUUAUCAUAAUUCACCAUAAAUCUCAAAAUUCAAUUCCUAUUAUUGAGCCAUAUUUUUUACAGAGGCAGUAAUAAGAAGUGAAUGCAUUUAGUAGCAAUUAUAAUUUUUUUACACUAAAAUUUAAAAUACUGACCUCUGUAACAAUCCAAUGGAUUUUCACUGAAUCAAGCUUCAUAAUGACUUCUUUAAGUGUAUUAUCUCUUCUGCAUGUAACCAUUCCACUCAACAAUGGUGAUGACUGAUGUUGCUCUUCAAGAUAGCUUCUAACUGCUGUGAGCAGUGGCGGAUCUAUGCGGAGGGCAGAAUAGAUAGUGCCUAUGCUGAACUUUUUUUAUUUUUAGGUAUAGGGACAAGGACAAAAAUAAAACUUAAUAAACGUAAGGGGACAGAUUUAUGAAAAAGUUCAACUUAGACGGGAAAAAAAACUUAAACUACUACUCUAAAAAAACUAAACACACGGUAUAUAAUGUAUUCAAACUCUUGCUCUCUAACUCGCUAAGCUUCAACCCUUCACUUCAAUCUUCAGCCCAAAAAAAUCCGCUCAUGCUGGGAACAUAUACUGGAUCCGCCCCUGGCUGUGAGGAAGUUCUUGGUUGUGAUAGAUCUGCAAUAACAUAGAAAAACGACAUAAGCUUCUGUAAAUUUGGGAUUUUACACAAAUUACUUCCAUAAAUCUAAAGGGUAUAGCAUGUGUUAAUUAGAUGUAUGUAACAAUGCUAAAUAUUUUACUAACCACGCAUAAAAAGGUUUCUAGGAUUAUAUGAUGGGCAAAUACUAGAAAGGUUUAUUAACGAAUCUGAGAUUCUUAUAGAUAACAGGUGCAAGUAGAAGGAAAUGAAAAUAUCUCUGAUGCUUAUAAUACCAACUGCCUUUGUUCCACCACUUUCGACCACUGGUACCCCACAACACCUUUCUACCUCAUAAGUUUAAAUGCCCCUUACACACCUUAGAAACAAAAGGGAAUGAUAAAAAACAAAUUAGUUUACAGGAAAUUAAUGUGAAAGCAAGCCUUAAUGAGAAAAAAAUGGUAGCCAUUCAAGAAAUGCCCCAAUUAUAGUUUUCCAGGAUUAUGAGCAAUGUGACCGACUAUUAUAUUUGCAAUAAUAGUACUUUGUUGACAAAAGAAUCUUACAAAAAAUUGUUUACAAAAUGAUGUGGCUGGUUGUGGUUGAUUACUAUCACUAGACCCACCCAUUUAUGGUGGAUCAUCCACUAAUUACACUCUGCCACAUCAUUUUGUAAACUAGUUUUUGUAAGUUUUUUUUUGUCACCGUAGCAACACUCUAUUUGUAAUACCAGACCCCCAUCAAAUUACAUAAUCAUAUUUGUAUACCAAGAGAAGAAGAUUAAUUUAGUACAAUGAUAUGUUAUGCCUUGUUUCAUUGCACCCACGUUUAAAUCAAGUUCAGCCCAAAAGUUCUUUGGAACCACCUACUUGAAGUAAUCAACACAAUUUUCUUUCCAACAUCUAGUUCUGGGUCCAUUAUAUCAUAAUCAAUCAUCUCUCCAUUAAUAAUGAGACAAUGGAAGAAAUCUUGGAAGGUAAAAAAAAGAAGAAAACUAUAAACCAAAUCAAAAGGUAUACUACUUGACCUCCCCACCCCAUUUUUUUAAAUACUAAUAUAGUAAAAUGCAAUUGUUAGUUCAAGAUUAGUUCAUAUAAACUACAAAAAACAAACCAAACAACAUUCCAAUUCGAAAAUAUUUGUUACCAGAUAACCUUCACAAGCAAAUUAGUACAUAACACUACUGACUACUCCAGGUCAAUAUCAUCGGAAUUGCUCUUCUCACUAUCAUUAUCAUCAACUGUUAUAAAUUCAGUUCCAUUGCUCAACCAGAUUGCAUGAUAAUAUUUAUUAGUAAUUUACUUGCAUGCAGACUUUAGAUGUUUUACAUACAUAAAAAUAAUUGCCACUAAAAUAACUCAGGCAGAUAUUGCAUGCUCCAUUUUUUCACUAGACUUUAAAAAACUGGAAAUAAAAAACAAAGACGUCAAUUGUGCAGUUAAGAACAUCAUAAUCAGUAGCUUCGACUGACUCUUUUAUGGACUUAUUACAGCUAAAGCCAUAGCAGUUCAGUCACAUAGAUUGUUGCUGCAGAUACAAACUACUAUUUGCUAGGAUACAUGUUAAUGGAAGAACUGAAGGAAACAAAACGAUCUCGAUGCUUCAAGGUACAUAAUAAACUAAUUCCCAAUUUUGAAAGACAUUUGCAGAACAAAUCCCAGAUGAUGAAACAAAUGCAAUGAUAAAUCACCUCCUAAAGACAUGGAUUGGUUAACCCUUGACUAUUUCUUGACCUACUUAAAUUUAGCAUUUGCAUGCAAAUGCUAAAAUUAAGUAUCAAAAUUCCCUCUUUCAAAUCAGUGAUGAAACCCUUGACUGGUACUAUCCAUUGAGAGGAAGAAAAACAAAUUAGUAUGGUGAUAUAUAGUCCCUCAAGGCACUUACGGAGUAAAUAAACACGAGAAAAUUCAUCAGUCCCACCACUGUCCCGCUCUCAAAUUUCCGUUUAAUGAGAGACAAAUCAAAUAAUUAAGAAACAUAUAUUAUAUGCAUAUACAAAAGAAGAGGUUUCUAAGUUUCCCACCUUUUAUCUUGUUUAAUUGCUAGAAAAAUUAAUACCAUCCAAAUGAGAUUCAUAUACCUAUCACAUCAGAGAGUUUUCUAUUUGUUUGGUUGGUUUUAAUAGUAUCAUUCAACUUUUUUAAGAUUACAGUUAAUGGCUACCAACUUCAUCCAGAUAACUUUCCAACAAAGUAUUGCUGCUCUUGAAUUAGAACCCGAAUUUGUCUGAUAUACUACAUUCCUUUCCUUUUCAUCUGUAUACUCAGGAACUGGGACGUACAAUGUGGACAUUUCGUACAUAAAUUUGUCUGGAUCUUAAAUAAUAAAUCGUCAUAACUCUUCAAAAAAACAAAUCAGCAUAGUGCACAUAACUUACAAACCUUAAAUUGUAAAAUCAUGGGCCUAAAUAAAGAAUUUAUGCUGAAGUUUGAAACUGUAAUUUCUAUCAGUACUAGCACUAAAAGAGUGUUUAGACAACUCAUUGAUGAUUCAUUGAUAUGUUACAACAUGGAACCUCGAGGAGUUCUUUGCAUUCCAUGGACAUGAUAGUAUAUAAAAAAAGCUCCAAAUCAUAAUUUGUUUCAAACAUUUGACAGUAGCAGGACAAUAUUAUUCAUCAUGUCAUCAUGCAUGAGAUCAAUUUCCAAACAUGCAAGUUCCACUAUGUACAUUUUCUAUUGAGAUUUAGGAGAAAUCAAUGGGUUUUCCACAAAAUUCCUUUCGGUAGCUAAUUUUCUUCUUAAUAAAAAUCCUAAUUCAAUUGUCUAUAGUUACCUUGUCCAUUCAUACUUUACCAAUCAGUCUUACCAAAGCUUGUCUCCAUUGAGUUAUAGAUCCCUCAUCUAUGUUCCCAACACCAAUGUUUUAUUGCUCAGAUUAAGUUAUAAAUACUAAGAAUAACUUACAUCUAAAGUCAGAAAAAGUGAAUUACGUUGCCAUCCAUAUGGUUGCAUCAAAGAUAUAGACAAUAAAACUGCUGGCAAAUUAAAAGAAAUUUAAACUCACAGAUGGAAAUGUCGUUGCAAUUUCAAAACAGAGCCUUGCAAGAUAAAGCAAACUUUUCUUUAUGUUCAAACUUCUCAUUAAUCUAAUGUCCUUUUUUCCAAUAAGAAAACUUUUUUUCUCUUUUUCGCCACUAAGAAUACCAAAUUGUAUCAAAUUGAUAUAAAGUAUUCAUUCAUUAAAAAGGUAAUCAUGAAAAUAAGGGACUAAUUAGAAACCACCAAAUUGUUUCAUAAAUGUUACAACUUUGAAUCCAUCACUUCCUUGAGAAAUUCUAGUUUUUUUCUCUUCUUCUUCUUCCUGAUAUGUAAAGUUAGUGCAAUUCUACUCUUUCCAAUAGCCUAAGUUAAUUCAUCAAAAUUAUCUGAUAAAAAAUAACCAAGUGUCUCCAUUGAGUUAGUUAUAGACCUCUAAUAUAUGCCUUUCGUGUAAUACACAAACAACUAGUGACAGUUAGACGCCUCUGCCUUUUACAUUCAGUGAAGGAUGCACUACUAACUCUGGUUUUACUGUAAAGUACCAGGACACAGCUGAAAAAACCCUAGAAUUAUCUACUCAUGCUGAUCAACGCAAGUCAAAAUCGAAGUAAAAUUAACUAAUAAACCAUCACAUAUAGAAAGAAAUUAGAAAAUGGCCAUAGCAAGGAAGAACAAAACCUUCUCUGAGUGUCCUGUUUUCUCAAACUUGAAGGCGAUGAGUACCGAAUCUCUUCUCCAACUCAAUCUGAAUCUGCUAAUUUCUAACUAAAUCGUUUGGGGGCUAGGACUAGAAACAACGAAUCUCAAUCUGCUAAUUUCCAACUCAAUUGUUUGGGGUCUACAACUAGAUGUCGAUAUUUGGGAGGCGACUGAGCCAGAUAGCAAAAAGAGGAGAGAAGCGACUGAGGAGAGGUUGAGGUCAGGCGACCGUACGGGUGAGGGAGGCCCAAAUAUUUUAUUGGGCAAAGCAGAUAGUGCGGGAGUGAAAAGUUU